Molecule: ribosomal RNA, 646 nt
Filed under: Triticum aestivum (bread wheat)
Lineage: Eukaryota; Viridiplantae; Streptophyta; Magnoliopsida; Poales; Poaceae
Description: partial small subunit ribosomal RNA
Source: RNAcentral
CCGGCCGCUGCUACCGCUACCGCCGCCAAGCGACGCGGCGCUCCUCCGAGCCACCGAGGGACGAGGUCGGUUGCGUCCGCCGCCAGCGCCUCCUCCCUGCGGCGGAGCACGGUUCGUCCAAGUACGCGAGGGCGGUGGAGAGGUGGUUCGUACGAUCGCUCUGGACCUACCUUUUCUUCUACGUCUUCAACUCUAGAUACACCCGGGUCAUGUUCCGCCUGUAUCUCUCUUCCUACUCCCUUGGAGGUCUUCUCCUACUCAAAUUCAACGAACAGCUCAGGAUGCGUGCAUGCUAACUACCACACCAGGUACCUUGACGGUUCUACCGUGAAGAGACGUAGUAAGGUAAACGGGAAAAACGGCCGCUGUUGUUGUUCCCCCAUCUUCGUCUCAGACAAUGGUUCCUUCUGGUCACUUCUGUUUGUAGGUUUCUGCUCUUGGUUUCUACCUGGGGAUGAACAAAAGUCAAUUUAAUACUACUGGACGUCAAAGCGAUCGCUCGUGAUACGAUAGCAACACUAAAACACAUUGUACCAUGGUAGAUAAGCUGUACUUUGAACAUCCAACUACUCUUGUACGUAACGUAUCGAACAUACCAGUGACCGUACGUAAAACGACGAUGACCUCACGAACUUAGUUGAAUCUC